UUGUUUGUUUUACGACCUUUUCGAAUUUUUGAAACAAAAAUGUUUCGAAAAACAUUCAUACUUUAGAAAUAAUGUGUGUUUACUACCAGUUAAAAUAAUUGCCAAGUAGAUCUAUAUAUAAAUAUAUAGAUAAUACUUAUGAGUAGGUAUACUAGGUCGGUAGGUAUACGGUAUCCCUAUAAUAUGUAAUAUACAUUUUUUUCCAUAGAACAAAAGUGAUGAGCAAUACGAGGAAGCAAUUAGUUUUUUACAAUGAUGGGUACGAUUUACGCUUUUUGUUAAAGUACCGUAGGUACUUAUUGCACAUUUCUGAAAAUAUUACUAUUUUUUUAUAAUUCCAUUAGUUCCGUGUUUUUUACCCUUUUAAAAUCCGAACUAACAAAAAAUAUAUUGUAGGUAUACGCCUAGCUAUGUUGUUCCAGGUCAAAAGACUUAAAUCUCUAUCACCAUUCACCGCCGAAAAGUGAAUACGACACUUAAAAAUGCGAAAUUUAAAGUUACAACUAAAAUGUUGAAAAAGACAACGACAAUUAAGUCUCACAAAAAUUAUUAUUAUUUUAUAACAAUAUAGUGUUGUUGAUGUUGUAUUAUAACAAUAAUCUACUAAAUUCAAAUGUUUUACAUAUAAUAUUUUAAGUAUAAGGUACAAGGGCACAUAUAAAUGUAUUUCUAAACGUGACAUGGUUAAAACAGCUGCACAUGACGCAAAGUACUUAUAUUAAUAUAAGAUAACAUUAAAAUCACAACAUUUCGAUAAACUAUAUAGAAAACAGAUAAAUAAAAAAUACAAUUAACAUAAUAUAUACGCAUACAUUUUUUUAAUGUUCAAAAUCAAAACGAAUAAUUAUGAUAAGCAUUCGAGGCGUCACUACGCUGUGUGGUUAUCAGCAGACAUAAAUAAUCACUACCUAUAUAAUUAUUGCACUUUGUAAAAUUGUGUACGUAUCCAUAAAAAAUACUAUUAAAGGCGUGAUGCUUAUUUAUGUUCUGAGUGUACUAAAUUGGAUUUUUAGAGCUGUCGGUUUCUAAAGGUUUAAACCAAGUUUUCGCUAUGUAGUAUUCUAGUUUGUGACAGUUGUAAUAAUCACCGAUAUUGGUCGAUAAACUUAAACUUCUACUAGACCUAACUUUUCGUUAAUAACGACGACCUCUCUAUAACUUUUUAAAGGUUUACUUUUAUAUCCGAUAAUCGAAUUAAUUGCUACCGAAAAUGUAAACGGAACAAAAAGCAUUAUCAACACUCGUAAAAAUAAAUAUAGAAUUCGCCAUUCUGAACUAGAAAUGUGGUACCUAAUACCCACACUGUGACCUUUGUCCGUCGUGUAUAAAUGACCGCAUGUGGUGAGAAUUGUUGGAAUUAUAAAUGUACCUGUGAACUCAGACGCCUAAGAGAAUAAAAGAGGUUAUUGAAAAGUUUCCCAGCAUGAGAUGUGUUCAAAUCUCAAAACAAUAGUAAAAUGUCGCAGUGUAUAUGAUAUAUUAACACAUAAUAAUAUUAUUGUCUGUGUACACGAUAAGUAGUCGAAAUAAUGCUUCGAUUUUCAACUUCAGUAACUUGUUUGAUGGAACAGUGAAUCUAGUCAGUACAUUGAAGAGGUCGAAGAGGUCAACAUUAAAAAUUCCCAGAAGUUUUCAAGAGCGCCAAGAAAAAAAAAAAUUAAGAAAAACCGGACAUUUUUAUACUAAAUCGGUUUUCGACCAAAUCGAUUUUUGUUUUUGAUGUAACUCUGAAACAA
Molecule: long non-coding RNA, 1736 nt
Organism: Acyrthosiphon pisum (pea aphid)
Lineage: Eukaryota; Metazoa; Arthropoda; Insecta; Hemiptera; Aphididae
Exons: 3
Source: RefSeq, a predicted model, not a curated record